UAACAGAAAACAAGAAAAACAGAGAAGAAGAAAAGAAAAACAAAGAAGAAGAAAAACACAGAGAGAUUUACGAUUUCGAAUUGAUCUUUGCAGAUCGUCCUACGUCUCGAAAGAAGGAAUCCUUUAUUUACGAAGAGUUAUAGAGAAAGAACAACCACAUACAAGUACAAUCUCGAUUACAGAUCAAUAAAUGGUAGAGAAAAACAAUCACAACUCUUUUUCACUUUAUGCAUUUUUUACACCAAAAAACAUAGGGACGUCUACUCCUUAAAUAGCAGACUUAACGACCUUGGC
This 294-nucleotide long non-coding RNA is filed under the name Manihot esculenta (cassava). Its description in RNAcentral is "long non-coding RNA (MESC_LNC010138)". The record is from RNAcentral. Lineage: Eukaryota; Viridiplantae; Streptophyta; Magnoliopsida; Malpighiales; Euphorbiaceae.